AUUUGGGCACUGUCUCAACAACAGACUCGGUGAAAUUGUAAUUCCGGUGAAGAUGCCGGAUACCUGCGACAGGACGGAAAGACCCCAUGGAGCUUUACUGUAGCUUGACAUUGGGUCUUGGUACUACAUGUACAGGAUAGGUGGGAGGCUUUGAAACCAGGACGCCAGUUUUGGCGGAGCCAUCCUUGGGAUACCACCCUUGUAGUACUGGGACUCUAACCAUAGGCCAUGAAUCUGGUCUUGGGACACUGUCAGGUGGGCAGUUUGACUGGGGCGGUCGCCUCCCAAAAGGUAACGGAGGCGCCGCAAGGUUCUCUCAGUACGGUCGGAAAUCGUACGUAGAGUGUAAAGGCAAAAGAGAGCUUGAUUGCAAGACAUACAGGUCGAGCAAGGAUGAAAAUCGGACUUAGUGAUCCGGUGGUUCGCGGUG
RNAcentral lists this ribosomal RNA (430 nucleotides) under Clostridioides difficile. Its description in RNAcentral is "bacterial LSU rRNA". It matches the Rfam family "Bacterial large subunit ribosomal RNA", at positions 2007 to 2435 of the family's 2925-position model. The record is from RNAcentral. Lineage: Bacteria; Bacillati; Bacillota; Clostridia; Peptostreptococcales; Peptostreptococcaceae.